GCUGACUCUGCUGCACGCAAUUUUGCAGCCUCCAUCUCUUGCCUCAGUGCAGCAUUCUCUACCUCAAGCCUCCGAACAGCAGAAUUAGCUCUCUCCACCUGCCCACUAGCCUUGCCCAAAGCAUUUUCCAUCUCCGUGAGCUUCUUCAUGGUGUUCUCUUCCAGAGUUUGUUUCUCUUUCUUGAGUCGUUCAACUUCUUCCCUCUCCAGCCUGAGUGACUUAAGUUCAGCCUUAUCCUUGCUCAAUCUUCGAGCAGCCUGCAUAACUUUCUGGUUUGCCCACUCUGUCCAUUCUUGGAGCUGAUUUUGCAAUUCUCGAACUGCAGGAACCAGCUUCAUAAUCAUCUCAUCCUUCUUGUCCCUUGGAACCCACUGUG
Molecule: unclassified non-coding RNA, 376 nt
Filed under: Hevea brasiliensis (rubber tree)
Lineage: Eukaryota; Viridiplantae; Streptophyta; Magnoliopsida; Malpighiales; Euphorbiaceae
Source: RNAcentral